This 492-nucleotide ribosomal RNA is filed under the name uncultured bacterium. RNAcentral describes it as "partial 16S ribosomal RNA". It matches the Rfam family "Bacterial small subunit ribosomal RNA", at positions 29 to 507 of the family's 1533-position model. The record is from RNAcentral.
AGUGAACGCUGGCGGUAGGCCUAACACAUGCAAGUCGAACGGCAGCACAGUAAGAGCUUGCUCUUACGGGUGGCGAGUGGCGGACGGGUGAGGAAUACAUCGGAAUCUACUUUUUCGUGGGGGAUAACGUAGGGAAACUUACGCGAAUACCGCAUACGACCUACGGGUGAAAGCAGGGGAUCUUCGGACCUUGCGCGAUUGAAUGAGCCGAUGUCGGAUUAGCUAGUUGGCGGGGUAAAGGCCCACCAAGGCGACGAUCCGUAGCUGGUCUGAGAGGAUGAUCAGCCACACUGGAACUGAGCCACGGUCCAGACUCCUACGGGAGGCAGAAGUGGGGAAUAUUGGACAAUGGGCGCAAGCCUGAUCCAGCCAUACCGCGUGGGUGAAGAAGGCCUUCGGGUUGUAAAGCCCUUUUGUUGGGAAAGAAAAGCAGCAGGUUAAUACCCCGCUGUUCUGACGGUACCCAAAGAAUAAGCACCGGCUAACUUCGUG